CCUACGGGAGGCAGCAGUGAGGACUAUUGGUCAAUGGGCGCAAGCCUGAACCAGCCAAGUCGCGCGCGGGAUGACGGUCCUACGGAUUGUAAACCUCUUUUGUCGGGGAGCAAGGCCCGCCACGUGUAGCGGGAAGGAGAGUACCCGAAGAAAAAGCAUCGGCUAACUCCGUGCCAGCAGCCGCGGUAAUACGGAGGAUGGGAGCGUUAUCCGGAUUUAUUGGGUUUAAGGGGUGCGUAGGCGGAAGGUUAAGUCAGCAGGCAAAUGUCGGUGCGCAACACCGGCCUGCCGUUGAAACUGGUCGUCUUGAGUGAGCGAGAAGUAGGCGGAAUGCGUGGUGUAGCGGUGAAAUGCAUAGAUAUCACGCAGAACGCCGAUUGCGAAGGCAGCAUACCGGCGCUCAACUGACGCUGAGGCACGAAAGCGUGGGGAUCGAACAGGAUUAGAUACCCGUGUAGUC
Molecule: ribosomal RNA, 460 nt
Filed under: uncultured bacterium
Lineage: Bacteria
Description: partial 16S ribosomal RNA
Rfam family: Bacterial small subunit ribosomal RNA
Source: RNAcentral